This 67-nucleotide transfer RNA is filed under the name Pseudokuzicus pieli. Its description in RNAcentral is "tRNA-Trp". Lineage: Eukaryota; Metazoa; Arthropoda; Insecta; Orthoptera; Tettigoniidae. The record is from RNAcentral.
AAGGUUUUAAGUUAACUAAACUAAUAGCCUUCAAAGCUAUAAAUAAAAUAUACUAUUUUAAACCUUA